AUUUGGACGAAAAGUGGUGUUUCCAGUGACAAAGAGGUGAGUAAAGCAUAAGAACUUCCCUUAGAAGUGGAACAACAGCUGAAAAUGGCUGCUAAUAAUACAUAGGCUGACGAGCAAAAGGAGGAAUUUGCUCAAGGAGGGACUUAUGUCUGAUUAGCUAGUUAGUGAGGUAAUAACUUUCAAAGGCAAUGAUUAGUGGCUGGUCUAGGAGGAUUAUUAGCCACAAAGGGAUUGAGAUACAGCCCAGUUUCCUAUAGGAGGCA
This 263-nucleotide ribosomal RNA is filed under the name Olea europaea subsp. europaea. Its description in RNAcentral is "SSU_rRNA_microsporidia". It matches the Rfam family "Bacterial small subunit ribosomal RNA", at positions 74 to 350 of the family's 1533-position model. The record is from RNAcentral. Lineage: Eukaryota; Viridiplantae; Streptophyta; Magnoliopsida; Lamiales; Oleaceae.